This is a long non-coding RNA of Bos taurus (domestic cattle), 1796 nucleotides long. The record is from Ensembl. NCBI's taxonomy places the organism in Eukaryota, Metazoa, Chordata, Mammalia, Artiodactyla, Bovidae.
GGGCUGGGAGUCCCAGCUGACCCAAAUUGGGAUCCAGAGACUGGGUGUAUCCGAUAAGCCGGUGAAUCAGAGGUCCUCCAGACCUCUAUUUACAGGAGAGGAAGAGUUCCUGUGGUCAAGUCUCCGGGGCAGAGGAGGAGAACCCAGGAAAUGGGCGUCUACGUUCUCUCUCCUGAGCCAAGCCGUGGUGACUACAAGCAAAAGCUGAAGGGCAGUGUUUUCAUCAUACUUGGGGCCCACGUGUGGGUUAAAGACCAAACUACAAUGAAUGGAGAGGACCCCACACAGUGGACUGCAGAAUAAAGUCGCUCUUUCUUCCUACAGCAGUCUCAAGACUACUGGAGCCCUCGGCUUCAUAAGGUCAUUCAUGAGCUCAGAGCCUUUCCAUCUGUUGUUUCCCGUUUGCCAGGCCACUGUCGUUGUGCACGGUUGAUGCUGGGUCACCAGCAUGGCUGGAGGAGGAAAGAGCGUGGAGACUUCCCCAGCAUCUCAAGGCCCAGACCUGGAAGGAGCUCCUCUGGCUCUGCGUUGCAUUAGUGCGCACUCAGUCACACAGUCAGGGAGGCUGGAAAAUGGACUCUAGCGUGCCAUCACGUGCCCACAGCAAUGCUGUUGCUGGUGGUAGAGAGCUAGCAGUCUGUGCCAUGGCUUCGCCGGGGUUGGGCCACCACAGUGCCAGACAGCCUGGAGGGAAGCACCCACCGUGCUCCUGUGGGACGCACAGAGUGCUGCUGGUCACAGGGCACAGUGAGACACUGGACCUCGAGGGCGGGAGCCCCAGGAGGCAGCAGAGCAGAACUCUCCAGAGAGGCCCUCUCUCCACGGCCAGUGUGCAAUGCAGAGUAAGAAUGAGCUAAGAGCAGAAAAACCUACCCAGGGAUGCCCAGGGACUCCCAAGCCUGCCCACAGGAACCUCAGCCCUGGAGGGGAAGUGGGUCUUCAGUCAGAGGGAUGGGGCACAAGCUGGCAAAAUGGGGGUCAGUCGUGACCCUCGACUGGGUCUCGUCAGCUGCUGGGACGUGGCUGCAAAUGACACACCUUCUGGAAAGCUUGGACCCUCACAGAGCAAGGCUGAAACCACAAUGAACGAUGGUCCUCCUAUAAUCGUCCCGAGACAGGACCCAGGAUGGGCUCUCAGUCCGUAGGUGCUGCUAUCGCUCUCACCUUGGAGAUGAGGAAGCCGGGAGAUCAGAGAGGCUCAGCAGCUUGCCCCAGUCACACAGCUUGCUCCCCGGGACAUGCUGGCAGCAGGGUCUGCUCUCAGCCUCCUGGCAGGGCCAGCAGCGGCAUCAGAACUUCUCAGGCAGACUUGCCACUGCCCUUGGCAAACAGCCCCAGGGUCACACUGAAGGCUGGCGAGCGCCCCUUCUCCCAGCUCCCUGCUCGAUGGAGCAGUCCGGGGCCUGCCCGCAAGCCUGGCGCCCUGCCUGCCUCUGAAGAUGUCCUCAGUGGGAAUCACAGCCAACGAAUGUACCAGCAGGAUGAGACGAGCUAAACGCUCAAGCAGUUCCCAGGGAACAAUGCGGCUCUGUGAGCAGCCCGGGCCGGAGCUCAGCCCUGGACAGCUGACAGGAACUAGCCCCAGCGACCAACUUGUCCUGGGGACUCCUCCAAAGCCAUCCGUGCUGUGGCCUGCUCCCUGCACUCUGGAGUUAGGACAUGUGCUUCUUGAGCCUUGGACCUCAGAGCCUCAUGGCCAGCCUCCGUCAUUCCCGCCUCUGCCUGCUGUGCUGGGAGACCCAGAGAAACAGCCCCAGCCGAGGUCCCAGCACACUAGCCUAGGCCCCCUCCUGCAC